Molecule: ribosomal RNA, 480 nt
Filed under: uncultured bacterium
Lineage: Bacteria
Description: partial 16S ribosomal RNA
Rfam family: Bacterial small subunit ribosomal RNA
Source: RNAcentral
GACGAACGCUGGCGGCGCGCUUAACACAUGCAAGUCGAGCGAUGAAACUUUAACAGAACCCUUCGGGGCGGAGAUAAAGUGGAUUAGAGGAGGACGGGAGCGUAACCCGUGCGUAACCUGCCUUUGACGUAGGGAUGGCCUCGGGAAACCGGGAUUAAUACCACAUAAAAGCAUAAUGGAACAUGUCAUCAGGAUCAAAGGUCCGGUGGUCUAAGAUGGACUCGCGUCCCGUUAGCUAGUUGGUAGGGUAAAAGCCUACCAAGGCGACGAUGGGUAGCCGGCCUGAGAGGGUGAACGGCGACAUUGGAACUAAGAAACAGUCCAAACUCCUACGGAAGGGAGCAGUGGGGAAUAUUGCACAAGGGAGGGAACUCUGAUGCAGCGACGCCGCGUGAACCAAGAAGGCGGUCGAGUAGUAAAGUUCUUUUAGAUGGGAAGAUAAUGACGGUACCAGAAGAAAAAGCCCCGGCUAACUACGUG